AUCGCUUCUCGGCCUUUUGGCUAAGAUCAAGUGUAUUAUUAUUAUUUUAUAUGAUUUGACUCCAC
RNAcentral lists this small nuclear RNA (65 nucleotides) under Myotis davidii. RNAcentral's name for it is "U2 spliceosomal RNA". Lineage: Eukaryota; Metazoa; Chordata; Mammalia; Chiroptera; Vespertilionidae. The record is from Rfam by way of RNAcentral.